This 914-nucleotide ribosomal RNA is filed under the name Lactobacillus sp. 14.8.43. RNAcentral's name for it is "bacterial SSU rRNA". It matches the Rfam family "Bacterial small subunit ribosomal RNA", at positions 55 to 930 of the family's 1533-position model. Lineage: Bacteria; Bacillati; Bacillota; Bacilli; Lactobacillales; Lactobacillaceae. The record is from RNAcentral.
AUGCAAGUCGAACGAGCUUCCGUUGAAUGACGUGCUUGCACUGAUUUCAACAAUGAAGCGAGUGGCGAACUGGUGAGUAACACGUGGGGAAUCUGCCCAGAAGCAGGGGAUAACACUUGGAAACAGGUGCUAAUACCGUAUAACAACAAAAUCCGCAUGGAUUUUGUUUGAAAGGUGGCUUCGGCUAUCACUUCUGGAUGAUCCCGCGGCGUAUUAGUUAGUUGGUGAGGUAAAGGCCCACCAAGACGAUGAUACGUAGCCGACCUGAGAGGGUAAUCGGCCACAUUGGGACUGAGACACGGCCCAAACUCCUACGGGAGGCAGCAGUAGGGAAUCUUCCACAAUGGACGAAAGUCUGAUGGAGCAAUGCCGCGUGAGUGAAGAAGGGUUUCGGCUCGUAAAACUCUGUUGUUAAAGAAGAACACCUUUGAGAGUAACUGUUCAAGGGUUGACGGUAUUUAACCAGAAAGCCACGGCUAACUACGUGCCAGCAGCCGCGGUAAUACGUAGGUGGCAAGCGUUGUCCGGAUUUAUUGGGCGUAAAGCGAGCGCAGGCGGUUUUUUAAGUCUGAUGUGAAAGCCUUCGGCUUAACCGGAGAAGUGCAUCGGAAACUGGGAGACUUGAGUGCAGAAGAGGACAGUGGAACUCCAUGUGUAGCGGUGGAAUGCGUAGAUAUAUGGAAGAACACCAGUGGCGAAGGCGGCUGUCUAGUCUGUAACUGACGCUGAGGCUCGAAAGCAUGGGUAGCGAACAGGAUUAGAUACCCUGGUAGUCCAUGCCGUAAACGAUGAGUGCUAAGUGUUGGAGGGUUUCCGCCCUUCAGUGCUGCAGCUAACGCAUUAAGCACUCCGCCUGGGGGAGUACGACCGCAAGGUUGAAACUCAAAGGGAAUUUGACGGGGGCCCGCACAAGC